ACAGUAAGCUUCAAAAUUUUGACUUUUUGCUCUGAUUUGGAACAACAUUUUUUUUUAAUGCUGAUAUUUCCCAAGAACGGUAAUUCUGAUUCCAACAAGUUCUGACAUCAGGCAUCUUUUCAGGACCCUCUUCAAUACCACUGGAAAGGGAGAGAAGGCAGAAUCCUCUGCACUCAGGAUCCCUGAGGGGAAGAGAAAGAAAAAAGAGAUGAUCCCAGAAGACGCUGGAAGUGGGAACAUUCUGGGAGUCCAUGUCUGACGACAACAGAUGUUUCUCAGGCAGAAACAAUGGGUCAGAUCCUCAACUCAUGUGCCAAGAAGAAUUUGAAGCUCAUAUGUUGCCAAAAAGUAUUGACAAAUGCAAAGGAGUGAAGAGAUCAAACAGG
Molecule: long non-coding RNA, 386 nt
Organism: Trachemys scripta elegans
Lineage: Eukaryota; Metazoa; Chordata; Testudines; Emydidae
Exons: 4
Source: RefSeq, a predicted model, not a curated record